Molecule: ribosomal RNA, 2931 nt
Filed under: Escherichia coli
Lineage: Bacteria; Pseudomonadati; Pseudomonadota; Gammaproteobacteria; Enterobacterales; Enterobacteriaceae
Description: 23S ribosomal RNA
Rfam family: Bacterial large subunit ribosomal RNA
Source: RNAcentral
GGGUUGUGAGGUUAAGCGACUAAGCGUACACGGUGGAUGCCCUGGCAGUCAGAGGCGAUGAAGGACGUGCUAAUCUGCGAUAAGCGUCGGUAAGGUGAUAUGAACCGUUAUAACCGGCGAUUUCCGAAUGGGGAAACCCAGUGUGUUUCGACACACUAUCAUUAACUGAAUCCAUAGGUUAAUGAGGCGAACCGGGGGAACUGAAACAUCUAAGUACCCCGAGGAAAAGAAAUCAACCGAGAUUCCCCCAGUAGCGGCGAGCGAACGGGGAGGAGCCCAGAGCCUGAAUCAGUGUGUGUGUUAGUGGAAGCGUCUGGAAAGGCGCGCGAUACAGGGUGACAGCCCUGCAAUAUCAAAAACAGAAUACGCGAGCUCGAUGAGUAGGGCGGGACACGUGGUAUCCUGUCUGAAUAUGGAGGGAACCAUCCUCCAAGGCUAAAUACUCCUGACUGACCGAUAGUGAACCAGUACCGUGAGGGAAAGGCGAAAAGAACCCCGGCGAGGGGAGUGAAAAAGAACCUGAAACCGUGUACGUACAAGCAGUGGGAGCACGCUUCGGCGUGUGACUGCGUACCUUUUGUAUAAUGGGUCAGCGACUUAUAUUCUGUAGCAAGGUUAACCGAAUAGGGGAGCCGAAGGGAAACCGAGUCUUAACUGGGCGUUAAGUUGCAGGGUAUAGACCCGAAACCCGGUGAUCUAGCCAUGGGCAGGUUGAAGGUUGGGUAACACUAACUGGAGGACCGAACCGACUAAUGUUGAAAAAUUAGCGGAUGACUUGUGGCUGGGGGUGAAAGGCCAAUCAAACCGGGAGAUAGCUGGUUCUCCCCGAAAGCUAUUUAGGUAGCGCCUCGUGAAUUCAUCUCCGGGGGUAGAGCACUGUUUCGGCAAGGGGGUCAUCCCGACUUACCAACCCGAUGCAAACUGCGAAUACCGGAGAAUGUUAUCACGGGAGACACACGGCGGGUGCUAACGUCCGUCGUGAAGAGGGAAACAACCCAGACCGCCAGCUAAGGUCCCAAAGUCAUGGUUAAGUGGGAAACGAUGUGGGAAGGCCCAGACAGCCAGGAUGUUGGCUUAGAAGCAGCCAUCAUUUAAAGAAAGCGUAAUAGCUCACUGGUCGAGUCGGCCUGCGCGGAAGAUGUAACGGGGCUAAACCAUGCACCGAAGCUGCGGCAGCGACACUAUGUGUUGUUGGGUAGGGGAGCGUUCUGUAAGCCUGUGAAGGUGUGCUGUGAGGCAUGCUGGAGGUAUCAGAAGUGCGAAUGCUGACAUAAGUAACGAUAAAGCGGGUGAAAAGCCCGCUCGCCGGAAGACCAAGGGUUCCUGUCCAACGUUAAUCGGGGCAGGGUGAGUCGACCCCUAAGGCGAGGCCGAAAGGCGUAGUCGAUGGGAAACAGGUUAAUAUUCCUGUACUUGGUGUUACUGCGAAGGGGGGACGGAGAAGGCUAUGUUGGCCGGGCGACGGUUGUCCCGGUUUAAGCGUGUAGGCUGGUUUUCCAGGCAAAUCCGGAAAAUCAAGGCUGAGGCGUGAUGACGAGGCACUACGGUGCUGAAGCAACAAAUGCCCUGCUUCCAGGAAAAGCCUCUAAGCAUCAGGUAACAUCAAAUCGUACCCCAAACCGACACAGGUGGUCAGGUAGAGAAUACCAAGGCGCUUGAGAGAACUCGGGUGAAGGAACUAGGCAAAAUGGUGCCGUAACUUCGGGAGAAGGCACGCUGAUAUGUAGGUGAAGUCCCUCGCGGAUGGAGCUGAAAUCAGUCGAAGAUACCAGCUGGCUGCAACUGUUUAUUAAAAACACAGCACUGUGCAAACACGAAAGUGGACGUAUACGGUGUGACGCCUGCCCGGUGCCGGAAGGUUAAUUGAUGGGGUCAGCGCAAGCGAAGCUCUUGAUCGAAGCCCCGGUAAACGGCGGCCGUAACUAUAACGGUCCUAAGGUAGCGAAAUUCCUUGUCGGGUAAGUUCCGACCCGUAUCGAAUGGCGGUAAUGAUAGCCAGGCUGUCUCCACCCGAGACUCAGUGAAAUUGAACUCGCUGUGAAGAUGCAGUGUACCCGCGGCAAGACGGAAAGACCCCGUGAACCUUUACUAUAGCUUGACACUGAACAUUGAGCCUUGAUGUGUAGGAUAGGUGGGAGGCUUUGAAGUGUGGACGCCAGUCUGCAUGGAGCCGACCUUGAAAUACCACCCUUUAAUGUUUGAUGUUCUAACGUUGACCCGUAAUCCGGGUUGCGGACAGUGUCUGGUGGGUAGUUUGACUGGGGCGGUCUCCUCCUAAAGAGUAACGGAGGAGCACGAAGGUUGGCUAACUCGUCGGACAUCAGUGAUAAGGAAGUAAUGGCAUAAGUUCAGCUUUACCGCGAGCGUGACGGCGCGAGCAGGUGCGAAAGCGAGGUCAUUACAGUGAUCCGGUGGCGGAUGGAAGGGCCAUCGCUCAACGGAUAAAAGGUACUCCGGGGAUAACAGGCUGAUACCGCCCAAGAGUUCAUAUCGACGGCGGUGUUUGGCACCUCGAUGUCGGCUCAUCAUGACCGCCGGCUGAAGUGAACCGCGGUAUGGGUUGUUCGCCAUUUAAAGCGCAGCCGCGGAGCUGGUUUAGAACGUGAGAUUGUCUGAACCUGGUCUUCGCCGUGGGCGCUGGAGAACUGAGGGGGCUGUCUCUAGCAAUGAGAGGACCGGAGUGGACGCAUCACUGGUGUUCGGGUUGUCAUGCCAAUGGCACUGCCCGGUAGCUAAAUGCGGAAGAGAUAAGUGCUGAAAGCAUCUAAGCACGAAACUUGCCCCGAGAUGAGUUCUCCCUGACCCUUUAAGGGUCCUGAAGGAACGUUGAAGACGACGACGUUGAUAGGCCGGGUGUGUAAGCGCAGCGAUGCGUUGAGCUAACCGGUACUAAUGAACCGUGAGGCUUAACCUUACAACGCCGAAGCUGUU